This 262-nucleotide long non-coding RNA is filed under the name Phasianus colchicus (ring-necked pheasant). RNAcentral describes it as "lncRNA (ENSPCLG00000002624.1)". The record is from RNAcentral. Lineage: Eukaryota; Metazoa; Chordata; Aves; Galliformes; Phasianidae.
UUUCUAAAUCAGAGACCUGAAUCUGGCUCCAUUAGCACCUGUGUCACUCAGAGGGAGUCAAGCUCUGGUUUGGAAACGUCUCAGCUCCAGCAGCAAUGUAGGGGCAUGAAUGAGGCCUCCAGGAAACCAGCCAUGGUCUUUGGUAUGCUUGUCUAGAUGGCAGCCAGUUCUUCACAGCAGGAGUUACAUAAGCAGUUUGGAUCAGCAAUGCUCCCAUCUUUUGCUGGACCAAGGUAACAACCUCCUUUCCGUAUUUUUUUUU